This 284-nucleotide ribosomal RNA is filed under the name uncultured bacterium. Its description in RNAcentral is "partial 16S ribosomal RNA". It matches the Rfam family "Bacterial small subunit ribosomal RNA", at positions 335 to 634 of the family's 1533-position model. The record is from RNAcentral.
UGCCUACGGGAGGCAGCAGUGGGGAAUAUUGGGCAAUGGGCGCAAGCCUGACCCAGCAACGCCGCGUGAAGGAAGAAGGCUUUCGGGUUGUAAACUUCUUUUAUGAGGGACGAAAGAAAUGACGGUACCUCAUGAAUAAGCCACGGCUAACUACGUGCCAGCAGCCGCGGUAAUACGUAGGUGGCAAGCGUUGUCCGGAUUUACUGGGUGUAAAGGGCGUGCAGCCGGGCUGACAAGUCAGAUGUGAAAUCCCGCGGCUCAACCGCGGAACUGCAUUUGAAACU